UCCGGGGUUGAUCCUGCCGGAGGUCACUGCUAUUGGGAUUCGACUAAGCCAUGCGAGUCGUGAGGGUUCGGCCCUCGGCAGACGGCUCAGUAACACGUAGAUAAUUUGCCCUUAGGUGGAGGAUACCCUCGGGAAACUGAGAAUAAUACUCCAUAGAUCUAGACUGCUGGAAUGCUUUUAGAUUGAAAGAUUUAUCGCCUAAGGAUAAGUCUGCGGACUAUCAGGUUGUAGUCAGGGUAACUACCUGACUAGCCUACGACGGAUACGGGUUGUGAGAGCACUAGCCCGGAGAUGAUAUCUGAGACACGAUAUCAGGCCCUACGGGGCGCAGCAGGCGCGAAAACUUCGCACUGUGCGAAAGCACGACGAGGGAAUCCCAAGUGCUGGCUCGUAAGAGUCAGCUGUUUCUCUGUCUAAAAAACAGAGAGAGUAAGGGCUGGGUAAGACGGGUGCCAGCCGCCGCGGUAAUACCUGCAGCUCAAGUGGUGGCCGCUAUUAUUGGGCCUAAAACGUCCGUAGCCGGUUCUAUAAAUGCCUGGGUAAAUCGUACGGCUUAACCGUACGAAUUCCGGGUAGACUGUUCAACUUGGGACCGGGAGAGGCUAGAGGUACUCCUGGGGUAGAGGUGAAAUUCUGUAAUCCUAGGGGGACCACCAGUGGCGAAGGCGUCUAGCUAGAACGGGUCUGACGGUGAGGGACGAAGCCCUGGGGAGCAAACGGGAUUAGAUACCCCGGUAGUCCAGGGUGUAAACGCUGCUCGCUUGAUGUUAGUCGGGCUCCGAGCCCAACUAGUGUCGGAGAGAAGUUGUUAAGCGAGCUGCCUGGGGAGUACGGUCGCAAGACUGAAACUUAAAGGAAUUGGCGGGGGAGCACCGCAACGGGUGGAGCGUGCGGUUUAAUUGGAUUCAACGCCGGG
RNAcentral lists this ribosomal RNA (916 nucleotides) under uncultured archaeon. RNAcentral describes it as "bacterial SSU rRNA". It matches the Rfam family "Archaeal small subunit ribosomal RNA", at positions 1 to 922 of the family's 1478-position model. The record is from RNAcentral.